AUGAUACGCGAGGAACCUUACCUGGGCUCGAACGUAAGAUGACUGUAGGUGAAAGCUUACAUCUCUUCGGAGCAUUUUACGAGGUGCUGCAUGGUUGUCGUCAGCUCGUGCCGUGAGGUGUCGGGUUAAGUCCCAUAACGAGCGCAACCCUACCUUUAGUUGCCAUCAGGUUAAGCUGGGGACUCUAAAGGAACUGCCUACGCAAGUAGUGAGGAAGCGGGGAUGACGUCAAAUCAGCACGGCCCUCACGUCCAGGGCUACACACGUGCUACAAUGGCCGAUACAGAGGGCAGCUACCUGGUGACAGGAUGCAAAUCUCCAAAGUCGGUCUCAGUUCGGAUCGGAGUCUGCAACCCGACUCCGUGAAGUUGGAUUCGCUAGUAAUCGCGCAUCAGCCAUGGCGCGGUGAAUACGUUCCCGGGCCUU
Molecule: ribosomal RNA, 426 nt
Filed under: uncultured Sphingobacteriales bacterium
Lineage: Bacteria; Pseudomonadati; Bacteroidota; Sphingobacteriia; Sphingobacteriales
Description: bacterial SSU rRNA
Rfam family: Bacterial small subunit ribosomal RNA
Source: RNAcentral